RNAcentral lists this ribosomal RNA (501 nucleotides) under uncultured bacterium. Its description in RNAcentral is "partial 16S ribosomal RNA". It matches the Rfam family "Bacterial small subunit ribosomal RNA", at positions 30 to 523 of the family's 1533-position model. The record is from RNAcentral.
AUUGAACGCUGGCGGCAGGCUUAACACAUGCAAGUCGAGCGGGGGAAGGUAGCUUGCUACCGGACCUAGCGGCGGACGGGUGAGUAAUGCUUAGGAAUCUGCCUAUUAGUGGGGGACAACAUCUCGAAAGGGAUGCUAAUACCGCAUACGUCCUACGGGAGAAAGCAGGGGAUCUUCGGACCUUGCGCUAAUAGAUGAGCCUAAGUCGGAUUAGCUAGUUGGUGGGGUAAAGGCCUACCAAGGCGACGAUCUGUAGCGGGUCUGAGAGGAUGAGACGCCACACUGGGACUGAGACACGGCCCAGACUCCUACGGGCGGCAGCAGUGGGGAACAUUGGCCAAUGGGGGGAACCCUGAUCCAUCCAUGCCGGGUGUGUGAAGAAGGCCUUAUGGUUGUAAAGCACUUUAAGCGAGGAGGAGGCUACUUUAGUUAAUACCUAGAGAUAGUGGACGGUACUCGCAGAAUAAGCACCGGCUAACUCUGUGCCAGCAGCCGCGGUAA